AUCAUGAGUUCACAUGUCCGCAUGAUUAAAGGUAUUUUCCGGUAGACGAUGGGGAUGCGUUCCAUUAGAUAGUAGGCGGGGUAACGGCCCACCUAGUCAACGAUGGAUAGGGGUUCUGAGAGGAAGGUCCCCCACAUUGGAACUGAGACACGGUCCAAACUCCUACGGGAGGCAGCAGUGAGGAAUAUUGGUCAAUGGGCGAUGGCCUGAACCAGCCAAGUAGCGUGAAGGAUGACUGCCCUAUGGGUUGUAAACUUCUUUUAUAAAGGAAUAAAGUCGGGUAUGCAUACCCGUUUGCAUGUACUUUAUGAAUAAGGAUCGGCUAACUCCGUGCCAGCAGCCGCGGUAAUACGGAGGAUCCGAGCGUUAUCCGGAUUUAUUGGGUUUAAAGGGAGCGUAGAUGGAUGUUUAAGUCAGUUGUGAAAGUUUGCGGCUCAACCGUAAAAUUGCAGUUGAUACUGGAUGUCUUGAGUGCAGUUGAGGCAGGCGGAAUUCGUGGUGUAGCGGUGAAAUGCUCAGAUAUCACGAAGAACUCCGAUUG
RNAcentral lists this ribosomal RNA (541 nucleotides) under uncultured Bacteroidota bacterium. RNAcentral's name for it is "bacterial SSU rRNA". It matches the Rfam family "Bacterial small subunit ribosomal RNA", at positions 173 to 715 of the family's 1533-position model. The record is from RNAcentral. Lineage: Bacteria; Pseudomonadati; Bacteroidota.